ACGAAUAAGAGAUAAUGCGAUACGGUCCCUAAGCUGUGCGUGAAAAAGAAACUGCUAACGCGGAAGCGUCGCGUCUUUUAAGGUGGAACGAAAAGCGUCAAUAAGAAGCUGCGAAUAAGAAGCUAGAUUCAGCCUCGUACAAAAACGACAAGAAACUUCACAGGCAGAUCAACAUGCAAUUUGAAGGCGUGUGAUAAAAUACAGAGAGGUGAAGUAGUGUGUCUUUCCAGAUCCCCAAAUCAUUCCCCCUUAAAAGAUGAGCCUGAAGAGGAGAUUUGGGAAGAUGCUGUUUCAUAAGUCGCUUUGCCAGAUCACCUGUGGUCGGGAUGUCUGCUAACAAGAUGCCUUGCUGGUCUGAGCGAGUUUAAACCUUACACAGACAGUCCAGAAGUUCUGAAGUCCAUCUUCGAUUUCAUUGAUGUUGUCAUCGUAUUAAGUACAGCAUGAGCCAGAAUAGAUGGGUGGUGGUGGCCAUAAGAAGACUGUCAACUAAACCAACAACAAAAUUCAUAUUUGCAGUUUUUCUUGAAUAAAGUUUUUCUAUUCAGAUUAAUAAAAUGACUUUUAAACAUGA
Molecule: long non-coding RNA, 574 nt
Organism: Paramisgurnus dabryanus
Lineage: Eukaryota; Metazoa; Chordata; Actinopteri; Cypriniformes; Cobitidae
Source: RefSeq, a predicted model, not a curated record